UACGUAGGGGGCGAGCGUUGUCCGGAUUCAUUGGGCGUAAAGAGCUCGUAGGCGGCUUGGUUAGUUGGGUGUGAAACCUCCAGGCUUAACCUGGAGACGCCACUCAAUACUGCCAUGGCUAGAGUCCGGUAGGGGACCACGGAAUUCCUGGUGUAGCGGUGAAAUGCGCAGAUAUCAGGAGGAACACCGGUGGCGAAGGCGGGUCUCUGGGCCGAUACUGACGCUGAGGAGCGAAAGCGUGGGGAGCGAACAGG
RNAcentral lists this ribosomal RNA (254 nucleotides) under uncultured bacterium. RNAcentral describes it as "partial 16S ribosomal RNA". It matches the Rfam family "Bacterial small subunit ribosomal RNA", at positions 524 to 776 of the family's 1533-position model. The record is from RNAcentral.